Long non-coding RNA from Pezoporus occidentalis (night parrot), 1145 nucleotides. RefSeq lists it as uncharacterized. The transcript has 7 exons. NCBI's taxonomy places the organism in Eukaryota, Metazoa, Chordata, Aves, Psittaciformes, Psittacidae. The record is from RefSeq and is a predicted model, not a curated record.
CCCAAAAGCAGCCCUGAAAAUAGCACUAAAAUAGCGUAAAAUGGAUGCAAAAGUAGCACUGAAAAUAACACCAAAAUGGCGCAAAAUGGACCCAAAAGCAGCCGUGGAAACAGCACUAAAAUAGUGCGAAAUGGACCCAAAAGCAGAGUGAAAAUAGCACCAAAAUGGCGGAAAAUGGACCCAAAAGCAGCACUGAAAAUAACACCAAAACAGCACGAAAUGGACCCAAAAGCAGCACUGAAAAUAGCACCAAAAUAGCGCAAAAUGGACCCAAAAAGCAGCGUGAAAAUAGCACUAAAAUAGCGCGAAAUGGACCCAAAGGCGGACCUGAAAAUAACACCAAAAUAGCGCGAAAUGGACCCAAAAUCAGCACUGAAAAUAACACCAAAAUGGCACGAAAUGGACCCAAAAGCAGCACUGAAAAUAGCACUAAAAUAGCGCAAAAUGGACCCAAAAAGCAGUGUGAAAAUAGCACUAAAAUAGCGUGAAAUGGACCCAAAGGCGGACGUGAAAAUAGCACUAAAAUAGCGCAAAAUGGACCCAAAAGCAGCCGUGAAAACAGCACUAAAAUAGCGCAAAAUGGACCCAAAAAGCAGUGUGAAAAUAGCACUAAAAUAGCGCGAAAUGGACCCAAAAAGCAGCGUGAAAAUAGCACUAAAAUAGCGCGAAAUGGACCCAAAAGCAGCACUGAAAAUAACACUAAAAUAGCGCAAAAUGGACCCAAAAAGCAGCGUGAAAAUAGCACUAAAAUAGCAUGAAAUGGACCCAAAAGCAGCGUGAAAAUAGCACUAAAAUAGUGCAAAAUGAACCCAAAAGCGGCGCUAAAUGAGCCUCCAAAGCAGCGUGAAACCAGCACCAAAAUGGCGUGAAAUGAACCCAAAAGCAGCGCAAAAUAAGCACAGAAUAGCCCCAAAAGCGGCGUGAAAAUAGUACAAAACCAGCACGAAAUGGACCCAAAAGCAGCGUGAAAAUAGCACCAAAAUAGCGCAAAAUGGACCCAAAAGCAGCGCAAAGUAAGCACAGAAUAGCCCCAAAACCAGCGCUGAAAAUAGCACAAAAAUGGGUCAAAAUAGCACUAAAACCAGCAGAAAACGGACCUGAAAUAGCGCAAAAUAGCCCCAAAAGCAGCGCUAAAAGUCGCAGAA